CGGGGCCCGCACAAGCGGUGGAGUAUGUGUUUAAUUCGACGCAACGCGCAGAACCUUUACCUAGACUUGACAUCCCGGGGAUUUUCUGGAAACAGAGAAGUGCUUUAGCAAUAAAGAACCCGGUGACAGGUGCUGCAUGGCUGUCGUCAGCUCGUGUCGUGAGAUGUUGGGUUAAGUCCCGCAACGAGCGCAACCCUCGCCUUUAGUUGCCAGCAUUCAGUUGGGCACUCUAGAGGGACUGCCGGUGUCAAACCGGAGGAAGGUGGGAUGACGUCAAGUCCUCAUGGCCUUUAUGUCUAGGGCUACACACGUACUACAAUGGCCGGUACAAAGGGCAGCCACUCAGCGAUGAGGCGCUAAUCCCAUAAAGCCGGUCUCAGUCCGGAUCGCAGUCUGCAACUCGACUGCGUGAAGUUGGAAUCGCUAGUAAUCGUAGAUCAGCAUGCUACGGUGAAUACGUUCCCGGGCCUU
This 471-nucleotide ribosomal RNA is filed under the name uncultured Desulfovibrio sp. Its description in RNAcentral is "bacterial SSU rRNA". It matches the Rfam family "Bacterial small subunit ribosomal RNA", at positions 916 to 1381 of the family's 1533-position model. The record is from RNAcentral. Lineage: Bacteria; Pseudomonadati; Thermodesulfobacteriota; Desulfovibrionia; Desulfovibrionales; Desulfovibrionaceae.